UACAGAGGUCUCAAGCGUUGUUCGGAUUUACUGGGCGUAAAGGGUGCGUAGGCGGCGGAGUAAGUCGAGUGUGAAAUUUCGGGGCUCAACCCCGAAACUGCACUCGAUACUGCUUUGCUAGAGGAUUGUAGAGGAGAGUGGAAUUCACGGUGUAGCAGUGAAAUGCGUAGAUAUCGUGAGGAAGACCAGUGGCGAAGGCGACUCUCUGGGCAAUUCCUGACGCUGAGGCACGAAGGCCAGGGGAGCAAACGGG
This 253-nucleotide ribosomal RNA is filed under the name uncultured bacterium. RNAcentral describes it as "partial 16S ribosomal RNA". It matches the Rfam family "Bacterial small subunit ribosomal RNA", at positions 524 to 776 of the family's 1533-position model. The record is from RNAcentral.